CUGGUAUGUAGAGAACAUUCU
RNAcentral lists this small nuclear RNA (21 nucleotides) under Arabidopsis thaliana (thale cress). RNAcentral's name for it is "snRNA_03533". Lineage: Eukaryota; Viridiplantae; Streptophyta; Magnoliopsida; Brassicales; Brassicaceae. The record is from RNAcentral.